AGAUAUUUAGCUCAGUUGGUUAGAGCGUUUCUUUUACACAGAAAAGGUCAGGAGUUCGAAUCUCCUAAUAUCUA
Molecule: transfer RNA, 74 nt
Filed under: Paracoccaceae bacterium
Lineage: Bacteria; Pseudomonadati; Pseudomonadota; Alphaproteobacteria; Rhodobacterales; Paracoccaceae
Description: Rhodobacteraceae bacterium tRNA-Val
Rfam family: tRNA
About the family: Transfer RNA (tRNA) molecules are approximately 80 nucleotides in length. Their secondary structure includes four short double-helical elements and three loops (D, anti-codon, and T loops). Further hydrogen bonds mediate the characteristic L-shaped molecular structure. tRNAs have two regions of fundamental functional importance: the anti-codon, which is responsible for specific mRNA codon recognition, and the 3' end, to which the tRNAs corresponding amino acid is attached (by aminoacyl-tRNA synthetases). tRNAs cope with the degeneracy of the genetic code in two manners: having more than one tRNA (with a specific anti-codon) for a particular amino acid; and 'wobble' base-pairing, i.e. permitting non-standard base-pairing at the 3rd anti-codon position.
Source: RNAcentral